This 253-nucleotide ribosomal RNA is filed under the name uncultured bacterium. RNAcentral's name for it is "partial 16S ribosomal RNA". It matches the Rfam family "Bacterial small subunit ribosomal RNA", at positions 524 to 776 of the family's 1533-position model. The record is from RNAcentral.
UACGGGGGGUGCGAGCGUUGUCCGGAAUCACUGGGCGGAAAGGGCGCGUAGGUGGUUUGAUAAGGGUGUGGUGAAAGCCCGGGGCUCAACCCCGGGUCUGCCGUGCCGACUGUCAAACUCGAGGGCUGUAGAGGCAGACGGAAUUCCGGGUGUAGCGGUGGAAUGCGUAGAGAUCCGGAGGAAGACCGGUGGCGAAGGCGGUCUGCUGGGCAGUUUCUGACACUGAUGCGCGACAGCGUGGGGAGCAAACAGG